RNAcentral lists this long non-coding RNA (233 nucleotides) under Homo sapiens (human). Its description in RNAcentral is "HSALNT0026744". Lineage: Eukaryota; Metazoa; Chordata; Mammalia; Primates; Hominidae. The record is from RNAcentral.
UUUUGUGGCUCUGAGAGGGGAUCUUAAGGAAACUUACUGUUCUCUAUUUCUCUUUGUUUCUCCAGAUUCUUGCACAGGAGUGGAAAAACUAUGACCCAUCGCCAGUUUUUGUAUGGACUGCGAGCUAAAGAUAAUGUUUCCCGACUCCUGGUCUAGCACAUAGAAGGAACUCAGUGUUUGAAAAAGGAAGAAGGGAGGGGAGGUAGAGAAUCAUAGAGUAGGUUGCUCUCUGG